RNAcentral lists this small nuclear RNA (277 nucleotides) under Erinaceus europaeus (western European hedgehog). RNAcentral describes it as "7SK RNA". It matches the Rfam family "7SK RNA". From Rfam's summary of the family: 7SK was discovered as an abundant small nuclear RNA in the mid-70s but a possible function has only recently been suggested. Two independent studies have found that 7SK RNA binds the CDK9/cyclin T complex (known as elongation factor P-TEFb). P-TEFb activates transcription by phosphorylating the C-terminal domain of RNA polymerase II. The record is from Rfam by way of RNAcentral. Lineage: Eukaryota; Metazoa; Chordata; Mammalia; Eulipotyphla; Erinaceidae.
GGAUAUGAGGCUAAACCACUGGAAGCAAUGUCAGCCCAUUGAUCACCUGGGUUGAUCUGGCUGAUCUGUUUGGCUAGGCUGGUGUCCCCCUCCUCCCUCACCACUCCAUGUGUGUCCUUCAAGAAACUGUGCACUAGAUUGAAGAUGACAACUUUCCCUGAAUAGAGACAGACCUGUCUUCAGUCAAAGAUCUGUGCUCCCCUGCUAGAACCUCCAAGUAAACUUUCCAAGCCAGCAUUGCAGUGCACCAUAUGGAAGCACUUUUUCUUCUAGCGUU